This 625-nucleotide ribosomal RNA is filed under the name uncultured bacterium. RNAcentral describes it as "bacterial SSU rRNA". It matches the Rfam family "Bacterial small subunit ribosomal RNA", at positions 9 to 637 of the family's 1533-position model. The record is from RNAcentral.
GAGUUUGAUCCUGGCUCAGAACGUACGCUGACGGAAUGGAUUAGGCAUGCAAGUCGAACGCUUGAGCUCUUCGGAGCAAGAGAGUGGCGAACGGGUGAGUAAGGCGUGAAUCACCUACCCUGUUGAGGGGGACAACCAUUCGAAAGGAUGGCUAAUACCCCAUACGCUCCUUCGGGAGGAAAGCUGGCUCUGCUGGCGCUGCAGGAGGGGUUCACGUGCUAUUAGCUUGUUGGUGGGGUAACGGCCCACCAAGGCGAUGAUGGCUAGCCGGCCUGAGAGGGUGUCCGGCCACACUGGGACUGAGACACUGCCCAGACUCCUACGGGAGGCUGCAGUCGAGAAUCUUCCACUAAUGCGCGAAAGCGUGAUGGAGCAAUUCCGUGUGUAGGAUGAAGGCCUUAGGGUUGUAAACUACUGUUGGAAAGGCGUAAUCCCUGGGUGUUAAUACCAUUCCAGGUUGAACUCCUUUCGGAGGAAGCAGCGGCUAAAUUCGUGCCAGCAGCCGCGGUAAUACGAAUGCUGUAAGCGUAGUUCGGAAUCACUGAGCAUAAAGAGCACGUAGGCGGCCUAUAAAGUCAGCUGUGAUAUCCCCCGGCUUAAACGAGGAACUGCAGCUGAUACUGAU